UCAUCAUGCCCUUAUGUUCUGGGCUACACACGUGCUACAAUGGCCGGUACAGACGGACGCAAAGCCGCGAGGUGGAGCAAAUCCUAAAAGCCGGUCUCAGUUCGGAUUGCAGGCUGCAAUUCCGCCUGCAUGAAGUCGGAAUCGCUAGUAAUCGCAGGUCAGCAUACUGCGGUGAAUUACCGGUUCCCGGGCCUU
Molecule: ribosomal RNA, 195 nt
Filed under: uncultured Bacillus sp.
Lineage: Bacteria; Bacillati; Bacillota; Bacilli; Caryophanales; Bacillaceae
Description: partial 16S ribosomal RNA
Rfam family: Bacterial small subunit ribosomal RNA
Source: RNAcentral